Molecule: long non-coding RNA, 1652 nt
Organism: Brienomyrus brachyistius
Lineage: Eukaryota; Metazoa; Chordata; Actinopteri; Osteoglossiformes; Mormyridae
Exons: 3
Source: RefSeq, a predicted model, not a curated record
CGGAAGAUCACUGGUUCAAUAGCCAGAAAUUUGACUUCUCUUUUCCUGCUGGGCACUGCAAUAAAUAUGCAUUGUUUGGAUUAGCAGUGAUCAGAAUGUCUUUAAAUGCAAUUUGUAGGCUUUAUGGCAGCCAUUCUUAAGUGCGAGUUGGACGCUGUUAACCUGUGGACUGCCUGUAUUCCGUAGUACUCUUUACCACUGGCCCAGAUCAACGAAGGACAAUGAAGACUACCUACACUGUUGAAGCAAACAUACUGAAAUAUAUGUAAUUUAUUUUUGCGGGUUUUUAAAAAUUAUUUCCGCGAAUAUUUACAUUUAAAUAAUUAUUUCCGCAUUGGACUAUAACUAUUUCGGGUAUUAAUACUUAUGGAAACAGGAACACUGAGCCAAAUUCAGUCCUUAUAUGAACUGAAUGCACCUUUUUGGAACAAGAUGAAGCUGACAAUAUCUGUCCUAAUAUAAACUGCCUGAGGCUGAAAACAAUCAAUGUGCUUUUCUCGGAUGCUGUGUGUGUCUGCGUGUGCAUGUGCAUGGCUCGGUGAACGCAAAGCAAUGCACACAUGCCUGGUCCUAAAUUAAAUUCCAAACUCGUGGCAUGAGAGGUUGGCACUAAUGUGGGUCAGCUCAUAACCAUCUUAAUCAAUUACAGCAAGACACUAAAAUGCAAGACUAAUUGGCAAAGCUUUCAUUUACGUCUGGCGUUCACAAAGUACCAAAGCAUGGAGCAGUUAGAUUAAAUAUUUACUGAGUGGUGUCAUUAUGUUUCCAUUAACAUUUAAAAUAGUUCAUUAAACAAGAUGCACCACUGAUGAAGUAAUUACUGAUGUUAAAUAAAACAACAUGUUUGAAAAGUCUACACUAAUGCCUCUUGUUUUUCACAACAUAAGUGACCACAGGAUUUCAUCGUAAGCAUUUCAACCAAAGUUACAUGAUGUUAAUUCAUACGUGGCUGCACUGCAAGUUUCAAGCACAACAAGUAAUUAAAUAUGAAUUUUGGCAUUCAAAUUGAGUUGGGCGCCGAAAUUAAAAACAGACAGUUGAUUAUCGCUAUCUAAUUUAUUCGUCAUUUAGAUAUAUUUUGGAUAUCUGAUUUGCUGAUGUGAGGUCCUGUUUUGAAAUAUCUGACUGUAUUAACGGAAAAUAAAUCUGGGAACACCUCAACUUUACCCCCCACUACUGUCUACCGUUGACUUGGUCGUUCCAUUGACGUGGUUUGCUUGAUACUAACACUGUAGUUCUUUCUCACUAGAUUCUAUUUUUGGUGGCAUUUGUUUGUAGAGCAUUUCCGUUGCGAGGUUUGAAGCAGCAUUUGCAUAGGUCUUCUUAACUAUCUUGUAGAUGUAGCUGGUCAGUCACUGAAGGCUUGCGGCAGUUCUGCCCAACUUGGGUCCAUGACAGCUGCAUGUAAUGUUUAUCUGCUUCACUUGUAUGCCACUUGGGACAAAUUCACCAGCCAAUUAAACAACACAAUUGAAUAACAUUAUAAUAUUUGUUUAAAUGUCUGUUGCACUAAUUAGUCUGCUGACUGAAUUCACAAUAAUACAAACACUCUAUAGGCCACAGUGGGUCUAAAGCAUUAAUCUGUUCAGACCGCUGGGACUGAGAUGUGUGUUUACCUUGAACCACUCUUGAGGCCAUAUCUUAUUGAUCAG